AGAAUCAACGCUGGCGGCGUGCCUCAGACAUGCAAGUCGAACGCGAAAGCUUUCUUCGGAGAGCAAGUAGAGUGGCGCACGGGUGAGUAACACGUGGGUAAUUUACCUUUGGGUGGGAAUAACAGCCGGAAACGGCUGCUAAUACCGCAUAAUGCAGCGGCAUCUUAAUGAUGACAGUUGUAAAGCGAGGGAUCGCAAGACCUCGCGCCAGAAGAGAAGCCCGCGGCAGAUUAGCUAGUUGGUGAGGUAAUGGCUCACCAAGGCGACGAUCUGUAG
This 276-nucleotide ribosomal RNA is filed under the name uncultured soil bacterium. RNAcentral's name for it is "partial 16S ribosomal RNA". It matches the Rfam family "Bacterial small subunit ribosomal RNA", at positions 26 to 286 of the family's 1533-position model. The record is from RNAcentral.